CGGGCUGAGUACAGCGGCGGACGGGUGAGUAACGCGUAGGAAUCUACCUGGUAUUGGGGGACAACAUGGGGAAACCCAUGCUAAUACCGCAUACGCCCUAUGGGGGAAAGCGGGGGACCUUCGGGCCUCGCGCUAUCAGAUGAGCCUGCGUAGGAUUAGCUUGUUGGUGAGGUAAAGGCUCACCAAGGCGACGAUCCUUAGCUGGUCUGAGAGGAUGAUCAGCCACACUGGGACUGAGACACGGCCCAGACUCCUACGGGAGGCAGCAGUGGGGAAUAUUGCGCAAUGGGCGAAAGCCUGACGCAGCCAUGCCGCGUGUGUGAAGAAGGCCUUCGGGUUGUAAAGCACUUUCAAUUGGGAAGAAAGGUUGUUGUCUAAUACGCAACAGCUGUGACGUUACCUUUAGAAGAAGCACCGGCUAACUCCGUGCCAGCAGCCGCGGUAAUACGGAGGGUGCGAGCGUUAAUCGGAAUUACUGGGCGUAAAGCGCGCGUAGGCGGUUUGUUAAGUCGGAUGUGAAAGCCCUGGGCUCAACCUGGGAACUGCAUACGAUACUGGCCGACUAGAGUACGAGAGAGGGAGGUAGAAUUCCACGUGUAGCGGUGAGAUGCGUAGAUAUGUGGAGGAAUACCGGUGGCGAAGGCGGCCUCCUGGCUCGAUACUGACGCUGAGGUGCGAAAGCGUGGGUAGCAAACAGGAUUAGAUACCCU
Molecule: ribosomal RNA, 710 nt
Filed under: Parahaliea aestuarii
Lineage: Bacteria; Pseudomonadati; Pseudomonadota; Gammaproteobacteria; Cellvibrionales; Halieaceae
Description: bacterial SSU rRNA
Rfam family: Bacterial small subunit ribosomal RNA
Source: RNAcentral